Clupea harengus (Atlantic herring) is the source of this 2820-nucleotide RNA transcript. It is a transcript of the gene named proline rich transmembrane protein 1B, with no coding region annotated. The transcript is spliced from 4 exons. The record is from RefSeq and is a predicted model, not a curated record. NCBI's taxonomy places the organism in Eukaryota, Metazoa, Chordata, Actinopteri, Clupeiformes, Clupeidae.
GAGAGAGACAGAGAGAGAUAGAGACAGAGAGAAACCGAUAGAGGGAAGUGGAUCAUCCAAGCGGCAACCAUUACAGCCCAGCAUGAGAAGCUCCUAAUCCGCAGCUCUCUUUCUCUCUCUUUCUCUCUCUCUCUUCCUCUUACUCAAUGGAACUCGUCCUGCCAUUCCAGUCGGACGUUCUCCCAACGAGUGGUUGACCCCUGGGAGCGCUGACCUUCAAACCCUAGCUCUGGUCCACGUACGGUUCGACCCUCAUGGAGCCCGACCACGCCCCAGCCCCUGUGGCUCCUGACCCGCUCCCUGGGGUAGGAUCUGCCCAACAGGGGGUAGUAGAACCUGAGGACUUCCUCGGCUGCCGGACCCCCCCAGACCCGUCCCCCUGCCCGGCGCACGAGGUUGACCGCGUCCAAACAGCCUGCCCUGUGUCUGACACAGACAACACUCACACGUCAAGACCUGCAAACGACUCACAGAGUCUCCGAACGGUUCACAGCGCGAAUGACUCAGAGAGUCUCAGAACGGCUCACAGCAUGACUGAUUCAGAAAGUCUCCAAACGGCUCACGACAUAAACGAUUCAGAAAGUCUCCGUACGGCUAACGGCACAAAUGAUUCAGAGAGUCUCAGAACGGCUCAGGGCACGACUGACACAGACAUUUACCAAACGGCUCACGCCAUGAAUGAUGCGGACAGCCUCCGCACGAUACCACCGACCCUACGACACCGACAGCAACCUGACCAAUCAGCUCGCUUACGACAGCGCCAGCAACCAGACCAUCAACCCCUCCUCAGACACAGACAGCAAUCAAACCAUACACCCCCCCUACCCGCCACACACACACCUACCCGGACCGCCGAGUCUUGGGCGAAUGUGUUGUGGCUGGGUCAGAGGGCGACGCCCCCACCACCAGCCAUGAGACAGGCCUCCAAGACGCCUCUGAGGACCCGCCCCCUUACAGCCCCCCCGACCCAAAGCUGGCGUAUCUUUUCUACCCCCCCACCCUGCCCCACUACUCUGGGCAGCCUGUCAUGGCCUGCCAGCCCCCCCCAACCCCCCCCGGCUUCUACCAGCCCCAGUUCAUGCCCUCGCCCACUUACCCGCCCUACGCCAUAUACAUGAACGGGUCGUCCCUGGGGGAGGAUCAGCCCCCCCUCCCUAAAGACUACCUGGUGGAGUCGCUGCUGGUCACCAUCUUCUGCUGCCUGAUGAGUGGACUGGUCGCACUCAUGUACUCAUAUGAGGUGGGCAUAAUUAACAGGGUUUACCAGGUGGGCACAGUCACCUAGGUGUACUCGUAUGUAAGGUGGGCACAGUGAUAUGGGUUUACUCGUAAUGAAGGUGGGCACAGUGAUAUGGGUUUACUCGUAAUGAAGGUGGGCAUAGUCAUAUGGGUUUACUCGUAUGUAAGGGUGUCAGGUGUCAGGGUCACUUGUGUUUAGUAGGCACCUUAUGAAGUGGACUAAUCUGCCUGGGUUUACUCACAGGAGUCAGUACAUCUUUGGCAAUCACUCUGAUAUAUAUAUAUAUAUAUAUAUAUACACAGUUUUUAAUUUGUUUUAAAUAUACUGAAUCCAUAUUAGUUGGUCACCAGUGCAUCCUUUAACUGAUGUGUAACAAGGGUAGAGUUACUUCAGAGGACUCUAUAAGAACGGUGGGCACAGCCACAUUGACGUUGUGUUGUUGUAACAGGUAGAUACAGACAUGCUGGUGCCGUCCUUGUUUAGGGGAGGGUCUCAGACAAACUGACUGAUUAGUAUCAUGUAGAAAUAGAGAGUGGUACAUUUGCUCCGACACACUUGGUCAAGGGUGGUCAGUUCAUGAAGAUGGCCUCUGACUCUGUGAUGUUGGUCCAUUCAUGAUGAUGGCCUCUGACUCUGAGAGGUUGAAUAACACUGCAGGAGCCGUGACUUAUUCAUUUCCGAAGAAGAACCAAAAACGAAACAUUGUAGAGACAAAGUGGCAAACGCUAACCGUGAUGCAUUUGGUUUACUGCGGUGAAAGUCCAGGAGUGCCAAUAGAUAAUUAACCACUGGGUCACACUGUAGGCAGCCUGUAGCUGCUUUAAUGAACCAGUGGGUCAUACUGUAGACAGCCUGCCUGCAGUUGCCAUGUGCAAGGGUUUCCAAUGCUUGGACCAAAACCACUAUGUUCUCUGACUAAACAUCCAGACACCCACACAGGAAACAGCAUGGCUGCACUGGACAUGUGACACGUAUGAAUGAGCUCAGCAUAUUACACUGCUGUGUCUCCAUCAUGACUCUACAUUGGUAUCAUAAACCAGUGUCACCAUAGUGACUGCUAUCACAAACUAGUGUCUCCAUCAUGACUGCUAUCACAAACUAGUGUCACCAUCAUGACUGCUAUCACAAACCAGUGUCACCAUCAUGACUGCUAUCACAAACUAGUGUCACCAUCAUGACUGCUACCACAAACUAGUGUCACCAUCAUGACUGCUAUCACAAACCAGUGUCACCAUCAUGACUGCUAUCACAAACCAGUGUCACCAUCAUGACUGCUGUCACAAACCAGUGUCUCCAUAUUGACUCUACACUGCUGUCACAAACCAGUGUCUCCAUCGUGACAUCAUGACUGCUAUCACAAACCAGUGUCUUCAUAUGACACAAACCCAAGAAAGAUUAGGUCAUAUGUUAGUAGCCUAUUGGCAGUCUGGUCAUUCCUGUGUUUAAGUGUACGUAUCUGAACAAAUAUAGCAUUAGUUGUUGACUUGUGUUUCUCCUCCCCUUUCUCUCUCUUUAUAUUCUCUCCAUUUUUUGUUUUUUUCUUCUCGUUUAACUCACAAUACCUCUCAUUUUCUCCUCUU